GUCGCUCAACUUGGUUGGGAGGAAAGUCCGGGCAACGCAGAGCACCAUACUUCUUAACGGGAAGUAGUCAGUGAUGGUUAAGUAAUGUAACAGAAAAUAACCGCCUGAUUUCAGGUAAGGGUGAAAAGGUGAGGUAAGAGCUCACCGGGUAGUAUGGCAACAUAUUACGCCGUACAUCUUAUGGGUUGUAAGGUCAUGUAUACCGACGUAUAAGGAUUGCUCGUCCGAUGUCGGGGGGUAGACCGCUAGAACUAUAUGGUGACAUAUAGUCAAGACAAAUGACAGAUACCUUUUCUUAAGGGACAGAACCCGGCUCAUAUUCCUACUGU
Molecule: RNase P RNA, 329 nt
Filed under: fish gut metagenome
Description: Bacterial RNase P class A
Rfam family: Bacterial RNase P class A
About the family: Ribonuclease P (RNase P) is a ubiquitous endoribonuclease, found in archaea, bacteria and eukarya as well as chloroplasts and mitochondria.
Source: RNAcentral